RNAcentral lists this ribosomal RNA (506 nucleotides) under uncultured Glomeraceae. Its description in RNAcentral is "SSU rRNA". It matches the Rfam family "Eukaryotic small subunit ribosomal RNA", at positions 569 to 1078 of the family's 1831-position model. Lineage: Eukaryota; Fungi; Glomeromycota; Glomeromycetes; Glomerales; Glomeraceae. The record is from RNAcentral.
AGCAGCCGCGGUAAUUCCAGCUCCAAUAGCGUAUAUUAAAGUUGUUGCAGUUAAAAAGCUCGUAGUUGAAUUUCGGGGUUAGUAGGUUGGUCAUGCCUCUGGUAUGUACUGGUCUCACUGAUUCCUCCUUCCUGAUGAAUCUUAAUGCCAUUAAUUUGGUGUUUUGGGGAAUUUGGACUGUUACUUUGAAAAAUUAGAGUGUUUAAAGCAAGCUAACGCUUGAAUACAUUAGCAUGGAAUAAUGAAAUAGGACGUUCGAUCCUAUUUUGUUGGUUUCUAGGAUUGACGUAAUGAUUAAUAGGGAUAGUUGGGGGCAUUAGUAUUCAAUUGUCAGAGGUGAAAUUCUUGGAUUUAUUGAAGACUAACUACUGCGAAAGCAUUUGCCAAGGAUGUUUUCAUUAAUCAAGAACGAAAGUUAGGGGAUCGAAGACGAUCAGAUACCGUCGUAGUCUUAACCAUAAACUAUGCCGACUAGGGAUCGGAUGAUGUUAAUUUUUAAUGACUCA